This 253-nucleotide ribosomal RNA is filed under the name uncultured bacterium. RNAcentral describes it as "partial 16S ribosomal RNA". It matches the Rfam family "Bacterial small subunit ribosomal RNA", at positions 524 to 776 of the family's 1533-position model. The record is from RNAcentral.
UACGUAGGGGGCUAGCGUUGUCCGGAAUCAUUGGGCGUAAAGCGCGUGUAGGCGGUCCGGUAAGUCCGCUGUGAAAGUCGGGGGCUCAACCCUCGAAUGCCGGUGGAUACUGUCGGGCUAGAGUGCGGAAGAGGCGAGUGGAAUUCCUGGUGUAGCGGUGAAAUGCGCAGAUAUCAGGAGGAACACCGGUGGCGAAGGCGGGUCUCUGGGCCGUAACUGACGCUGAGGAGCGAAAGCGUGGGGAGCGAACAGG